RNAcentral lists this ribosomal RNA (254 nucleotides) under uncultured bacterium. RNAcentral's name for it is "partial 16S ribosomal RNA". It matches the Rfam family "Bacterial small subunit ribosomal RNA", at positions 524 to 776 of the family's 1533-position model. The record is from RNAcentral.
UACGUAGGGUGCAAGCGUUGUCCGGAAUUAUUGGGCGUAAAGAGCUCGUAGGCGGUCUGUCACGUCGGCUGUGAAAACCCGAGGCUCAACCUCGGGCCUGCAGUCGAUACGGGCAAACUAGAGUACUGCAGGGGAGACUGGAAUUCCUGGUGUAGCGGUGAAAUGCGCAGAUAUCAGGAGGAACACCGGUGGCGAAGGCGGGUCUCUGGGCAGUAACUGACGCUGAGGCGACGAAAGCCAGGGGAGCAAACGGG